Molecule: long non-coding RNA, 770 nt
Filed under: Gopherus agassizii (Agassiz's desert tortoise)
Lineage: Eukaryota; Metazoa; Chordata; Testudines; Testudinidae
Description: lncRNA (ENSGAGG00000024808.1)
Source: RNAcentral
UGCAAUAAAAGAGCUCGCCCCAAAGCGGUGGGCGCGCCACUUGCUGCNCAUCUGCAAUAAAAGAGCUCGCCCCAAAGCGGUGGGCGCGCCACUUGCUGCAAGAGAAGCUCGUCUCUGCCUGGUUUCUUCCCGCAUCUGGCGACCCCGAGCUGAUCAGCUCCCUCUGCUCAUCGGCUGGAAUAGCCCUGGUGCACCGCAGCGCGUCUUUCACACCGGUGGUUUCGGCUCAACUAGAUCGGACCUGCCGGAUCAGGACAACCCGGAAUACCACCCUCAAAUCGUCGCGCUCUUACAGCAGAUCCAAACACAAAAACCAACUCAUGACUACGUAAUUCACGAAACAUUUUCGCCAAGAAGAGGUGCUCCCCGCCCCCAAGGUGACAUAUCGCCAACUGCCUGGGGCCACCUGGAGCCCACCCGUACCAUUAAUAACUUGGGGGCGAGGAUACGCCGCUCUUAGCACACCUACUAGCCCCGUGUGGGUCCCCGCCCGUUACGCUCGGCCGUGGAAGGAGGGUGGCGUGGCAUCAGGGCCUGAAUUCAAUCGAUGGCUGGCGUCCACUCGAACCAUUACCCGGGCACAGGCUCGUGGUACGCCCAAUGCCCCAGUUACAUGGGGGCAGGUUAAGGCUUUGUCCCUGCAAGCGGAGAAAACGCUGGAGACUACUGGCCUGGAAAAGACUUCAGAAAACUUUGUGGUAGCCCUGCUCGCGUGUUUAAACUCUAAUUCCUGUGUAAUGUUGUUAAGUAUUUUACACUGUUGUGUCCUC